UACGGAGGGUGCAAGCGUUGUUCGGAAUUAUUGGGCGUAAAGGGCGUGUAGGCGGUGUGGUAAGUCAGAUGUGAAAGCCCUGGGCUUAACCCAGGAAGUGCAUUUGAAACUGCCAUGCUUGAGUAUGGGAGAGGAGAGUGGAAUUCCCAGUGUAGAGGUGAAAUUCGUAGAUAUUGGGAGGAACACCCGUGGCGAAGGCGACUCUCUGGACCAAUACUGACGCUGAGGCGCGAAAGCGUGGGGAGCAAACAGG
RNAcentral lists this ribosomal RNA (253 nucleotides) under uncultured Desulfobacterium sp. RNAcentral describes it as "partial 16S ribosomal RNA". It matches the Rfam family "Bacterial small subunit ribosomal RNA", at positions 524 to 776 of the family's 1533-position model. The record is from RNAcentral. Lineage: Bacteria; Pseudomonadati; Thermodesulfobacteriota; Desulfobacteria; Desulfobacterales; Desulfobacteriaceae.